UACGGGGGGGGCAAGCGUUGUUCGGAAUUACUGGGCGUAAAGGGCUCGUAGGUGGCCAACUAAGUCAGACGUGAAAUCCCUCAGCUUAACUGGGGAACUGCGACCGAUACUGGUUGGCUUGAAUUCGGGAGAGGGAUGCGGAAUUCCAGGUGUAGCGGUGAAAUGCGUAGAUAUCUGGAGGAACACCGGUGGCGAAGGCGGCAUCCUGGACCGGCAUUGACGCUGAGGCGCGAAAGCCAGGGGAGCAAACGGG
This 253-nucleotide ribosomal RNA is filed under the name uncultured bacterium. RNAcentral describes it as "partial 16S ribosomal RNA". It matches the Rfam family "Bacterial small subunit ribosomal RNA", at positions 524 to 776 of the family's 1533-position model. The record is from RNAcentral.